RNAcentral lists this ribosomal RNA (486 nucleotides) under uncultured bacterium. RNAcentral's name for it is "partial 16S ribosomal RNA". It matches the Rfam family "Bacterial small subunit ribosomal RNA", at positions 28 to 507 of the family's 1533-position model. The record is from RNAcentral.
GAUGAACGCUAGCGGCAGGCUUAACACAUGCAAGUCGAGGGGCAGCGCGGGAUAGCAAUAUCCUGGCGGCGACCGGCGGAAGGGUGCGUAACGCGUGAGCGACAUGCCCGUUGCCCGGGGACAACCGGUGGAAACGCCGACUAAUCCCCGAUGGGAUAUUGUGCCGCAUGGCACGAUAUUGAAAGUUACGGCGGCGACGGAUUGGCUCGCGUCCGAUUAGCUUGUUGGCGGGGUAACGGCCCACCAAGGCUGCGAUCGGUAGGGGUUCUGAGAGGAAGGCCCCCCACGAUGGGACUGAGACACGGCCCAUACUCCUACGGGAGGCAGCAGUGAGGAAUAUUGGUCAAUGGGCGGAAGCCUGAACCAGCCAUGCCGCGUGCGGGAAGGAGGCCCUAUGGGCUGUGAACCGCUUUUGCCUGGGGGCAAUAAGGGCGUCGCGCACGUCCGAUGAGAGUACCAGGCGAAUAAGCAUCGGCUAACUCCGUG